RNAcentral lists this long non-coding RNA (243 nucleotides) under Elaeis guineensis (African oil palm). RNAcentral's name for it is "long non-coding RNA (EGUI_LNC012597)". The record is from RNAcentral. Lineage: Eukaryota; Viridiplantae; Streptophyta; Magnoliopsida; Arecales; Arecaceae.
UUUGGGUUUAGGAAUAUCUUUACCAUCUAUUUUAAUUGUGGGUGUAUGAGGAUCUUUGAUUAUAACUCUCCAAACUUGAUAAUCAAGUGUUUGAAUGUAAAUCCAUAUGCAUGCUUUCCAAUAAGUGUAAUUUGUUUCAUUGAACAAAGAUGGAUGGUUAGUCGAUUGCCCUUCGAUAAGAGACGUACUCAUUUGGGUUGCCAUUUAAUCUUAACUCUUGAUCAUUAGAUCAAAUAUAAGUAU